This 253-nucleotide ribosomal RNA is filed under the name uncultured bacterium. RNAcentral's name for it is "partial 16S ribosomal RNA". It matches the Rfam family "Bacterial small subunit ribosomal RNA", at positions 524 to 776 of the family's 1533-position model. The record is from RNAcentral.
UACGGAGGGUGCAAGCGUUAUCCGGAUUCACUGGGUUUAAAGGGUGUGUAGGCGGACUUUUAAGUCAGUGGUGAAAUCUCCAGGCUCAACCUGGAAACUGCCAUUGAUACUAUUAGUCUUGAAUUCUGUUGAGGUGGGCGGAAUACAUCAUGUAGCGGUGAAAUGCUUAGAUAUGAUGUAGAACACCGAUUGCGAAGGCAGCUCACUAAACAGCGAUUGACGCUGAGGCACGAAAGCGUGGGGAUCAAACAGG